AGGGCCCAGCAUAGGUGAGGCCUGCCGCUCACAGACAGCCAAAGCUAAAAGAUGCUCCAAAAUUGCCAGCAGCCAUGUGCAGACACAAUAACUUACAAGAUUAAGAUCAAUUUGGUUGCUGAUGGUUCUAAACAAAUCUAUACAGCUCUUUUAUUCCAAAAUAUAUCAUUUUAAAGACAAACAGUCUUAUCCUGUGUAACCCCCAAGGACAAACAAUUGUCAAACAUGCCUAUCAAAAUUUUAAAGCCCAACUUCUAAAACAGAAAGAGGGAGAACAGCUACCUCCACAAGCUCAAUUACAUCCUGUUACUUUCAUUUUAAAAUUCUUAAACCCACUUGUGGAAAGUAAAUGUGCUCCAUCAGAACUCCAUUAGUACAAGGACAAAUCUACGAUACGCCCUAGACACAAGAGUUGUAAAAGUAUGUUCUAACUAAAAGGUAAAAUGGCUCAAUACAAUUAAUAACGUGGGGAAAAAGUUUGCUUGUGUCUUAACAGAUAAUGGAAAAAUGCUGUGGCUGCCAUCCAGGAAGCUUGGAUUGCCUUUCGUCCAGGUCUGCUGCAGAGGAGCUCAAACCAAAUGACAUCUGAAGAUGUUGGAACCACAAGUCACAAUGAUCCAACUUCUACAAGCAAAUAAGAAGAAAGGGGAAUCUGUCAAGAGUCAUUCUACAUAAAUUUUUUGGGAAAAAUCUUUCCAUAACUAAAGUAUGACUAUAGCUGUCUAAGGCCCAUUACUGGAGAGCCAGUUAUGGCAUGUGGAAACAUAACUCUGUUUUGCCUCCAGUCACAAGUUGAGGCCUCAAUGGUCCCAUGAUACUGUGAUACUGUGAUACUCAAAGGCAAGUGUGCAUCAGCUGAAGACAUUCUGGUUCUUUGGGAACCGAGUAGUAAUUAAAAAAAAAAAAAAGAGAAAGAUUUCACCUAGGGGAAGGAUAAAUUCUUUAUUGGCCUGCUAUCUCAUCCCACCUACUAGUGUAAGAAUGCUUUCCUUGAGCUGAGGAUUUAACUCAGUUGUUUCACCUCCUGCUGCACAAGCAGAAGGACCCGAGUUCCCCGAUACCAAAAAAAAAAAAAAAGAAUGCUCUCCUUACCACCCUUAUCAA
Long non-coding RNA from Heterocephalus glaber (naked mole-rat), 1104 nucleotides. RefSeq lists it as uncharacterized. The record is from RefSeq and is a predicted model, not a curated record. Lineage: Eukaryota; Metazoa; Chordata; Mammalia; Rodentia; Bathyergidae.